GUCUGUGUGCAUUUAAAUUCUGCUUGGAAUCUGAACCAAUAAGGAGAGUGAUAUCAAUUCCACCAAUAGAAAGCAAAUCCUGAAGAAUGUUUGGGAAUCUCCUUCAGAGCUGCUGAUUCAUUUCUCCCUUGAAACUUAACAUAUGCUGCCGUUGAAACAACGAUUCAGAAAAUGGAUGUUGGAAAUAAUGCAAUUCAUGCUAAGCCCAGAAUGCAAUAAUAAACCAAAGAGAAAAACAUCCUGCGGUCUGUGUGCAUUCAAAUGGAAUUUGGAAUAUGAACCAAUAAGGAGAGUGAUCUCACUUCCAUCAAAGGAAAGCAAAUACCCAGGAAAGCUUUGAGAGCUCCUUCAGAGCUUCUGAAUAAUUUCUUCCUCCAAACUAAACGAGUGAUGCUGCAGAAAAAACAGAAUAGAAAGUGGAUGGCAGGAAAAAGCAUACUUUAUCCUAGGCAUUGAAUACAAUACAAAAAAGAGAAAAACAUCUUUGGGGAGGAGGGGAUACAUUUAGAGAUGCAUCAGGAACCUAAAAGGAGAGAGAUCUAAAACCCUGGAAUGGAAAAAAAUGACGGCAGUUUUUGGAGAACUUCCCCAGAGCUGCUGACUCAUCUAUAUCUCUCCCCUCUACGAUUUUGUCAAAGAAAAGGGGAUAUUGAAUUUGGAAGACUGAAUUAAAUGUAGUUUGCUUGCAUAUUGAUCAAUUUCUGGUUUGAUGUACUUUUUUUUAAAACAAGCUGAUUUCAGAUAAGUUUUUUACCUUUGAAUGUUAAUAUGCCAUUCUAAAAUACCUAGCCAUGUAUACUGAGAAAAGUUUCUGUGACCACACUUCUCUUAUGUCCUGGUAUUGUAGAAUACCAUUAUCCCUCAUUUUGAAAAUUAGUAUUCAUCAACAUAUUGUAGAUUUACAAAUAUUCAAAUGAAAAUAUUACUGGCUGAGCUGAUUCCUUAGUUAUGCACACUGUAACACAAAAGUAAAAUGUAGCUUAGAUAAUGGAACUGGGAGCCCACACCACUAACCACUAUAUAGGUCACAGUGUCCUCCUCC
This 1042-nucleotide long non-coding RNA is filed under the name Cricetulus griseus (Chinese hamster). RNAcentral's name for it is "lncRNA (ENSCGRG00015038267.1)". Lineage: Eukaryota; Metazoa; Chordata; Mammalia; Rodentia; Cricetidae. The record is from RNAcentral.